Molecule: long non-coding RNA, 1251 nt
Filed under: Crocodylus porosus (Australian saltwater crocodile)
Lineage: Eukaryota; Metazoa; Chordata; Crocodylia; Crocodylidae
Description: lncRNA (ENSCPRG00005015797.1)
Source: RNAcentral
UGGAAAGUAUUUAAGCCAGUGCAUUUCUGCCCAAGGCAGAGACCAGCUCUCGCAGAAACCCGGUUCGCAUGAGCCCAGAGCUACUUCACAGGCUGGCCGCUUGUGACCGUCUCUCCGCUACCGCCAUCUCCCGGCGGAACUUCCUCGCAUGCUUGACUUCAUUCCGACCAACAACUCGUUUGUCUCCGUCUACUAGCUAAUCGAUUAGUUCGUUUUACAGUUGUCGCUGUAACCAAGCUUGACCCGCUACACUACUGUUAAUUGGUGGCGUAAGUAAAGGAAAAAUAAAAAAAAAAGGGGUUUUUUGCAACCAUACAAGAAUUAACUGCCUGACUUCUCACUGCUAGCCCCCACCUGCUCGAUCAUGUUGGCCCAGACCGUGACCAGUCGACCUGGUCGCCACAUGGCAUCACGAACAGGAUCCAGGGGAGGCGAGAUACAGUCAGAGUCAGAGCUGAUCCGCUACUGCCCAUGGCAUAGUGGGGAGCGUCCAACGACUGACUCAGAUGAUCUAUAGGCGCAUAUUGUUUACCACCAAGCAGCCAGUUCGGCCGCACCCACAGUGAACAGGUACAUUUCCCUUCGCGGGAGUGACACUAACGGGAAGGAGUUAGCUGGACGGCCCAUUCCUAGCGCCCUCGGCUGCGUAAUGCAGGACUGACCCCAAGGUUGUCUACCGCCCACAGGAGGAGUCUGGAUCCCUAUCCCUUGCCCGCGUUAAACCCACGGGUGCGGCAUGUCCCAGCCCAGCCCAAGAAUUUGCCCGAUGCGCCUGGCACAGAGAGGGAGGUGAAAGCACCCCUCUGGACAAGUUUACCUGUCCGAACCUCUCGCAAGGAUCUAGGGGGCACGAGCUACUAAACCAGAUCCACAAAAACCUAGAGGCUGACAGGCGGACAGCCACCAAGUGGACCGGCCCGAAAUGGGACAAGGGGGAAAAUGCUUAAAUGUUCUGUUUCGUGCAUAUAUGUCGGGCUGUUGAGAGAGAACGCAGAUCUAGAGGUGCAGCUAGAAACUGCUGCCCAAGCUGCCACAGACAAUGUAGCUGGACCACCAUUUCAAGAUGGCGCUGACAAAAGAGGGAGCUCAAGUGAGGCAGGAAACCCCGUAGAAAAAGAAAAAAAGUGCGCCAACAUCACCCACCUGGAGCCCGCCUCCUCCUGCAGCCAUACAGACAGACACGCCUGUCGGGGACAGGCACCCCGGUGUCACGGUGGGCCGAGCACAAACAAACAGCCCCCACCUGCUUGA